CUGAUGCAGCCAUGCCGCGUGUGUGAAGAGGCCUUCGGGUUGUNAAGCACUUUCAGUAGGGAGGAAGGUUAGUUUUAAUAGAGCUGAGCUGUGACGUUACUUACAGAAGAAGCACCGGCUAACUCCGUGCCAGCAGCCGCGGUAAU
This 146-nucleotide ribosomal RNA is filed under the name uncultured bacterium. RNAcentral's name for it is "partial 16S ribosomal RNA". It matches the Rfam family "Bacterial small subunit ribosomal RNA", at positions 383 to 524 of the family's 1533-position model. The record is from RNAcentral.